Molecule: long non-coding RNA, 3170 nt
Organism: Puntigrus tetrazona (Sumatra barb)
Lineage: Eukaryota; Metazoa; Chordata; Actinopteri; Cypriniformes; Cyprinidae
Exons: 3
Source: RefSeq, a predicted model, not a curated record
CAUAUUGGUUUCGCACUUGCUGAAGGACUCUAGAGAGGCCAGGAAUAGGAAAACAAAGCCAAACAUGAGACAUUUUAAGCGAUUAAUAGGCGCAGUCAGCUAUUUCGGAUAGUAAUUUUGUCCAUCGAAGAAACACAAACGCCCCAUUCUUCUUCAGCAGAGCAACAUCAAACGCUGAGUUCGUUUAGGCAGCGGCGCUCAUCUUCGCCUCACGAGUUUAAUGCGGCCAACUCUGAGCCAAACGCUUUACAUCGGAGUAUCCACCCAUCUCUAACCCUACACAGAGUCUGUGUUUACUAGCAGACACGGCGAGCAGGCACGACCGGUUUACAGAGAGAGAGGCGCACACCUGUUCCUCACACCGCACCCUCUGCGUUCAGGUUUUCUUAGCAUUAAAAUAAUGCAAAGUGGUGAGAUCAUUUCACCCGGAGUCAGGACAGAGUUCGUUAUUCAAACCCAUUUUCCCUGCUUCAUAUUUGCCUAUGAAAGAAAGCCAUGGACGAGGCGCAUUAAGUGCUGCAUGCAGCGUUAUAAAAUAGUACCCUCCCCAUUUUUGUCUUGUUUUCUGAAUCGUAUCCUUAAUUCGAGAUGCGUUUAAGAUGCGAAAUAAACAACAAAAAGUCACAGUUUUCCGAAACAAUUAUUAAAAUGAAGUAAACAUCUGCCAAAGCCACAUGAAAACUGGUUUUCUUGAUUUUUUUUAAGCCUAUAGAGAUACCCGUUGAACAUAAAUGCAUAUAAGUGCACUGAAACGGAGCUAUUCAGGCCAUAAGCUAUUUCUUUGUGCUGCUUAAUAUUUUUUGUGCAUAUAUAAAAAAAAACAUUUGCUUGAAACAGGAAGCUUUUGUAACGUUCUAAAUGCCUCCAUUGUCACUUUUAAUCAACUCAAUGCAUGCUUUCCGAAUAAAAGCAUUAACUUCUUUCCAAACCCCCCCAAAUCUUUAACGUUAUAUACGUUAAAUACAUUUAAGCACGACGUAGGCAUUCACACACCCCUGAAACGCUGAACUGCUAAGCCUGUUCUAUUGUGUAGGGUGAUUUAUCACAAAGGCGUUCACGUUUUGCAUAAAUGCACUUGGUUUUUCACGAUCACGGUGACAGAAACAGACCAGCCUCAAGAAGGAAUGCGAUUCCAGUGAAGUCCUGGCUAACUUCGCACCGUCAGCGCUGGAGGUGUUGCUCACGAGCUCCGAGGUAGCCGUUAAACACUGUGAGCAGACGCAUUACCGACUGCCCCAUUGCAUCAUGACUCCUCUGUGGGUUUUUCGUUUGAAUGAUCGUGUUUAGAAAUCAGACACAAUGCGUUAGGACAUGUCGCCCAUAUCCGUAAGAGGGAAGGCGCGUCCGGAGGCGCUCCGGGUCGCCCAUUGUGCUCCGGCGCUCUGUUUGAGGUAAAUUCAGCUAAAUUCAACCCCCUGGAUGUUUUCACAGAUCUGUUGGCUGCUUCUCCGUCAGUGAAGGAAAGGCGGCCGUUUACAUGACUGUGAAGCAUCAGAAGAAUGCAGAGGGGUGAGAUCUCUGAAGCAGAAACAGCAGUCUGUCAUGUCCUGAACACACAUCUGCUGGAGAGGAGCCUGCGGCGUUUGUCAGGAUUCCCGUGUUUUGAGCCAAUUAAACUUUAGCUCCGGUUUUGAGAAACGUGCCACAGCGCUCGACUGAAAUCAGAAGGAGUCCGGACACAUGUAGACGCCGCAAGCGCCAGAUCCAGCUGCUUUAAUGGGAAACCGGUGCUUGACACGCCGGUGGAAGAAUCCAGAAAAGAGCAGGGCGACAGACGGACAGCAGACGUGUAGCGAACGGCACAUGGACGUUACAUAAGCACACACUCCUCCCUCAGAUCCUCUCAACAUCUGGAACCAGAGCCGACCCGAGGAAACGAGAGCGAAGAGACACCGAGAGACGCGUAUCGGACACACUGUCAAUCACUCGUCGCUGACACAUUAAGGACAGGGAGAAACUAAAGGCUAAAUGGGAGAUAAAUGGAUUUAAUGGAUGCAGCGUGUGUGUGUGUGCGUGUGUGUGUGUGUGUGGACAUCAGGAUGUCAUAUGUAUAACAUCUAAAAAGAGUUUGACAUACGUUACCGCUUCUGUUAAUGCGACUGUGUAGUUAAACGGGGAAAAAACUGACUGAGUUUAGAUUAAAGUCCCGGUCAAUGAGUGAAAACAGAUCCAGGGGAAGUCAGUGGAAAACCCGGCAUGUUUCCACACAAUUACAAAGGCAUUCGCAACACUGAACACAUUAUAUCAUAAUCAAUAUAAAAUAAAAAGUGUGUUUUGUUAGUUUUUUUUUAACCAAAAGGGGAUUUUUCAAAAUGGCGGUCAAAAGCUCAACACACUCCCGAAGCUUCGGCCUAGCUAUUAAUAUUCAGGCGGUUUGCAUCUUGUUAAAAUUAAAGCGGUUGUACUAUGUUUAGUGUAAACAGGUUUACCUUGUUUAUAUGACAAGAGUCCACCGAUUUUUCUCAAACGCAACACAGAAAAAGCAUGCAUUAUAUUAUGAAUUACAGUGAUACACACAAAACAAUGAAAUAAAAUGCAACGCGGAAAAUGCAUGCAUAUAUUUAUAUAAAAAAUCGAAUUAUUAUAAUUAAUAUAAUGACAUAUAAUUAGUUAACAAAUCAAAUCAAACAAAAGGUUUUAGAAACAUUAAGGAUCCACAAAAUUAAGCGAUUAAAUGGUUUAGGUGAGAACAAAUUGGCCUGCUGGAAUUAGGGUUAUGCACAUAUUCUUAUUCCGUGAUCAUUUAUUAACAUUAUGUGAAAGGUUUUUUUUAAGAUGUUGUGUAAAUGCUGGGACUUUUUAUUUCUCAAAACUACUUGCACACAGAACCAAGGGGAUGAUGAAAAAUAAGCAGUAAUAAGCGGUUCUAUUUUCUUUUUGGUUGCUUUUUUUUGAUAUUUUCUAUUCAGUUCUGUCUCUGUUUUGGUCUUUGGCCUGAUUGACAUUUAAUCCGUAAAUAAAUACGCGCGUGUAUGCGUGUGUACACAGGUGUGUCUGUCCGUGAGCACACAAGAAAUGUUGCUAAAAAACACUGGUGAUCAGGAAGAGUGCUCACGUGAUCAUUAGUGACUUCGGCCAGCAACUGACUAGAACUAAAUCAGUAAGAGGUCAUAUAUGUCUGGUCAGGAUAAAAUAAUAAAAGUCCCAGCAGAUUCAGAAAAAUCUCGCAA